RNAcentral lists this ribosomal RNA (468 nucleotides) under uncultured bacterium. RNAcentral's name for it is "partial 16S ribosomal RNA". It matches the Rfam family "Bacterial small subunit ribosomal RNA", at positions 28 to 507 of the family's 1533-position model. The record is from RNAcentral.
GACGUACGCUGGCGGCGUGCUUAACACAUGCGAGUCGAACGGAAAGGCCCUGCUUUUGUGGGGUGCUCGAGUGGCGAACGGGUGAGUAACACGUGAGUAACCUGCCCUUGACUUUGGGAUAACUUCAGGAAACUGGGGCUAAUACCGGAUAGGAGCUCCUGCUGCAUGGUGGGGGUUGGAAAGUUUCGGCGGUUGGGGAUGGACUCGCGGCUUAUCAGCUUGUUGGUGGGGUAGUGGCUUACCAAGGCUUUGACGGGUAGCCGGCCUGAGAGGGUGACCGGCCACAUUGGGACUGAGAUACGGCCCAGACUCCUACGGGAGGCAGCAGUGGGGAAUAUUGCACAAUGGGCGGAAGCCUGAUGCAGCAACGCCGCGUGCGGGAUGACGGCCUUCGGGUUGUAAACCGCUUUCGCCUGUGACGAAGCGUGAGUGACGGUAAUGGGUAAAGAAGCACCGGCUAACUACGUG